RNAcentral lists this ribosomal RNA (102 nucleotides) under uncultured bacterium. RNAcentral describes it as "partial 16S ribosomal RNA". It matches the Rfam family "Bacterial small subunit ribosomal RNA", at positions 390 to 509 of the family's 1533-position model. The record is from RNAcentral.
AGCGACGCCGCGUGAAGGAUGAAGUAUUUCGGUAUGUAAACUUCUAUCAGCAGGGAAGAAAAUGACGGUACCUGACUAAGAAGCCCCGGCUAACUACGUGCC